This 253-nucleotide ribosomal RNA is filed under the name uncultured bacterium. Its description in RNAcentral is "partial 16S ribosomal RNA". It matches the Rfam family "Bacterial small subunit ribosomal RNA", at positions 524 to 776 of the family's 1533-position model. The record is from RNAcentral.
UACGUAGGUGGCAAGCGUUGUCCGGAUUUACUGGGCGUAAAGAGCGCGCAGGCGGUCGUUCAAGUCGCGUGUGAAAGCCCCCGGCUCAACUGGGGAGGGUCACGCGAUACUGAUCGACUCGAAGGCAGGAGAGGGAAGUGGAAUUCCCGGUGUAGUGGUGAAAUGCGUAGAUAUCGGGAGGAACACCGAUGGCGAAGGCAAUCUCCUGGGCCUGCACUGACGCUCAUGCACGAAAGCGUGGGGAGCAAACAGG